GAUGAACGCUCGCGGCAGGCCCAACACAUGCAAGUCGAGGGAGAGGUUACCUUCGGGUAACCAAAACCGGCGCACGGGUGCGUAACGCGGAUACAAUAUGCCUUUCACAUAGGGAUAGCCCGAAGAAAUUUGGAUUAAUACCUAAUGGUAUAUAAGAGCGGCAUCGUUUUUAUAUUAAAGCUACGGUGGUGAAAGAUGAGUAUGCGUUCUAUUAGCUAGUUGGAGAGGUAACGGCUCCCCAAGGCGACGAUAGAUAGGGGUUCUGAGAGGGAUGUCCCCCACACUGGUACUGAGAUACGGACCAGACUCCUACGGGAGGCAGCAGUGAGGAAUAUUGGACAAUGGUCGGAAGACUGAUCCAGCCAUGCCGCGUGCAGGAUGAAGGUCCUAUGGAUUGUAAACUGCUUUUGUAAGGGAAGAAUAAGGAGUACGUGUACUUUGAUGACGGUACCUUACGAAUAAGCAUCGGCUAACUCCGUG
This 480-nucleotide ribosomal RNA is filed under the name uncultured bacterium. RNAcentral's name for it is "partial 16S ribosomal RNA". It matches the Rfam family "Bacterial small subunit ribosomal RNA", at positions 28 to 507 of the family's 1533-position model. The record is from RNAcentral.